ACUAAUCUGCGAUAAGCGCCGGUAAGGUGAUAUGAACCGUUAUAACCGGCGAUACCCGAAUGGGGAAACCCAGUGUGAUUCGUCACACUAUCAUUAACUGAAUCCAUAGGUUAAUGAGGCGAACCGGGGGAACUGAAACAUCUAAGUACCCCGAGGAAAAGAAAUCAACCGAGAUUCCCCCAGUAGCGGCGAGCGAACGGGGAGGAGCCCAGAGCCUGAAUCAGCAUGUGUGUUAGUGGAAGCGUCUGGAAAGGCGCGCGAUACAGGGUGACAGCCCCGUACACAAAAGCGCAUGUGCUGUGAGCUCGAUGAGUAGGGCGGGACACGUGGUAUCCUGUCUGAAUAUGGGGGGACCAUCCUCCAAGGCUAAAUACUCCUGACUGACCGAUAGUGAACCAGUACCGUGAGGGAAAGGCGAAAAGAACCCCGGCGAGGGGAGUGAAAAAGAACCUGAAACCGUGUACGUACAAGCAGUGGGAGCCCCACCACCAAAGCAUUUGCU
This 502-nucleotide ribosomal RNA is filed under the name Salmonella enterica subsp. enterica serovar Enteritidis. Its description in RNAcentral is "partial 23S ribosomal RNA". It matches the Rfam family "Bacterial large subunit ribosomal RNA", at positions 60 to 589 of the family's 2925-position model. The record is from RNAcentral. Lineage: Bacteria; Pseudomonadati; Pseudomonadota; Gammaproteobacteria; Enterobacterales; Enterobacteriaceae.